AGGUUACUUCGGUAACUGACCUAGCGGCGGACGGGUGAGUAAUGCUUAGGAAUCUGCCUAUUAGUGGGGGACAACAUUCCGAAAGGAAUGCUAAUACCGCAUACGUCCUACGGGGGAAAGCAGGGGAUCUUCGGACCUUGCGCUAAUAGAUGAGCCUAAGUCGGAUUAGCUAGUUGGUGGGGUAAAGGCCUACCAAGGCGACGAUCUGUAGCGGGUCUGAGAGGAUGAUCCGCCACACUGGGACUGAGACACGGCCCAGACUCCUACGGGAGGCAGCAGUGGGGAAUAUUGGACAAUGGGCGCAAGCCUGAUCCAGCCAUGCCGCGUGUGUGAAGAAGGCCUUUUGGUUGUAAAGCACUUUAAGCGAGGAGGAGGCUCCUUUAGUUAAUACCUAAAGAGAGUGGACGUUACUCGCAGAAUAAGCACCGGCUAACUCUGUGCCAGCAGCCGCGGUAAUACAGAGGGUGCGAGCGUUAAUCGGAUUUACUGGGCGUAAAGCGUGCGUAGGCGGCUUUUUAAGUCGGAUGUGAAAUCCCUGAGCUUAACUUAGAAUUGCAUUCGAUACUGGAAAGCUAGAGUAUGGGAGAGGAUGGUAGAAUUCCACGUGUAGCGGUGAAAUGCGUAGAGAUCUGGAGGAAUACCGAUGGCGAAGCAGCCAUCUGGGCCUAAUACUGACGCUGAGAUACGAAAGCAUGGGGAGCAAACAGGAUUAGAUACCCUGGUAGUCCAUGCCGUAAACGAUGUCUACUAGCCGUUGGGGCCUUUGAGGCUUUAGUGGCGCAGCU
This 785-nucleotide ribosomal RNA is filed under the name uncultured bacterium. Its description in RNAcentral is "SSU rRNA". It matches the Rfam family "Bacterial small subunit ribosomal RNA", at positions 72 to 853 of the family's 1533-position model. The record is from RNAcentral.